CAGUCGCCGCGGGAAUACGAAGGGUGCAAGCGUUACUCGGAAUUACUGGGCUUAAAGCGUGCGUAGGUGGUGGUUUAAGUCCGUUGUGAAAGCCCUGGGCUCAACCUGGGAAUUGCAGUGGAUACUGGGUCACUAGAGUGUGGUAGAGGAUAGUGGAAUUUCCGGUGUAGCAGUGAAAUGCGUAGAGAUCGGAAGGAACAUCUGUGGCGAAGGCGACUAUCUGGGCCAACACUGACACUGAGGCACGAAAGCGUGGGGAGCAAACAGGAUUAGAUACCCCGGUAGUCCCUGUCUCUUAUAC
This 301-nucleotide ribosomal RNA is filed under the name uncultured bacterium. RNAcentral describes it as "partial 16S ribosomal RNA". It matches the Rfam family "Bacterial small subunit ribosomal RNA", at positions 509 to 807 of the family's 1533-position model. The record is from RNAcentral.